UGUGGGAGCGAGCUUGCUCGCGAUGAGGUCAUAACAUUCAGCAUCUAUGUUGACUGUUAUACCGCCAUCGCGAGCAAGCUCGCUCCCACA
This 90-nucleotide unclassified non-coding RNA is filed under the name Pseudomonas arsenicoxydans. Lineage: Bacteria; Pseudomonadati; Pseudomonadota; Gammaproteobacteria; Pseudomonadales; Pseudomonadaceae. The record is from RNAcentral.